This 24-nucleotide non-coding RNA is filed under the name Cricetulus griseus (Chinese hamster). The record is from RNAcentral. Lineage: Eukaryota; Metazoa; Chordata; Mammalia; Rodentia; Cricetidae.
AAAGUGAACCGAGGAAAAGCAGGU